RNAcentral lists this ribosomal RNA (495 nucleotides) under uncultured bacterium. RNAcentral's name for it is "partial 16S ribosomal RNA". It matches the Rfam family "Bacterial small subunit ribosomal RNA", at positions 28 to 507 of the family's 1533-position model. The record is from RNAcentral.
GACGAACGCUGGCGGCGUGCCUAAUACAUGCAAGUAGAACGCUGAAGGAGGAGCUUGCUUCUCCGGAUGAGUUGCGAACGGGUGAGUAACGCGUAGGUAACCUGCCUGGGAGCGGGGGAUAACUAUUGGAAACGAUAGCUAAUACCGCAUAACAGGAGAUAUUGCAUGAUAUCUGCUUGAAAGGUGCAAUUGCCACACUAACAGAUGGGCCUGCGUUGUAUUAGCUAGUUGGGGAGGUAACGGCCCACCAAGGCGACGAUACAUAGCCGACCUGAGAGGGUGAUCGGCCACACUGGGACUGAGACACGGCCCAGACUCCUACGGGAGGCAGCAGUAGGGAAUCUUCGGCAAUGGACGGAAGUCUGACCGAGCAACGCCGCGUGAGUGAAGAAGGUUUUCGGAUCGUAAAGCUCUGUUGUAAGAGAAGAACGAGUGUGAGAGUGGAAAGUUCACACUGUGACGGUAGCUUACCAGAAAGGGACGGCUAACUACGUG